This 61-nucleotide transfer RNA is filed under the name Notolachesilla sp. GRA1sp1LA. Its description in RNAcentral is "tRNA-Pro". Lineage: Eukaryota; Metazoa; Arthropoda; Insecta; Psocodea; Lachesillidae. The record is from RNAcentral.
UAUAGUUUAAUUAAAAUCUUAGUUUUGGAGACUAAUUAUAUCUGUAUAAAGGUUAUUCUGA